GUGAAGAGCGCAGUGUGUGUGUGAGGGGUGCAGUGUGUAUGAAGGGUGCACUAUGUGUGAUGGGUGCAGUGUGUCUGUGUGAGGAGUGCAUGUGUAUGGAGAGGUGCAAUGUGGUGUUUGGGUUGCAUUGUGUGUGUGAAGGGUGCACUAUGUGUGAAGGGUGCAGUGUGUGCGUGUGGGUGGUGCAGUGUUUGUGUGUGGGGUACAG
Molecule: non-coding RNA, 208 nt
Organism: Pelobates cultripes (western spadefoot toad)
Lineage: Eukaryota; Metazoa; Chordata; Amphibia; Anura; Pelobatidae
Source: the annotation of a GenBank genome assembly